GGUAGAGACAGGGUUAAUAAUUAUGCCACACACUCAUACCUUUAUUCAACUCAUCGUUUGUCCUAUUCAGGUCACAGAGAUACUUGGGACUCAUACCUGCUCUCAAACCACCAAUCACUUCACACCGGGCAUCUUCUGUGGGGCUCAGGGACACUUGAAGAUGAGAGCAGGGACAUGUGGUAGACAUGAGGUCAGGCCCUGGCUGCCCCAGCUCUGCCCAGCUACACAAAACAAAUGACUUCUCAGGUAGCUCUGGGGAGCUCCCAGUGGAUCAGGGAGAGAAUGUCUGGUGUUGGCAAGACCAGUGAGGAGGCUGCAGUCAAGUCUGGGAGUAAAUGAGUCUGGGAGCCACUGGAGACAGAGCUCAGAGGAAAUGACUUGGUGCAAGAGAUGAGCCUCAAAGUUGAUUUCCCAGGAGGAAUCCCUCAAGGUCCUUGAAACAUGGACAUCAAGGAGGAAAAUCAAUCAUCUUUUAAGUCUUCACCUUGAUGAUUGAACUGCUGCUGCCAGACUCUUUUUUCUUUCUCUCAAGCCCUACACGUAGCCUCCCUCCCUCCCUCCCUCUCUCUCUCUACCUCUGUC
Suricata suricatta (meerkat) is the source of this 582-nucleotide long non-coding RNA. RefSeq lists it as uncharacterized. The record is from RefSeq and is a predicted model, not a curated record. The transcript has 4 exons. Lineage: Eukaryota; Metazoa; Chordata; Mammalia; Carnivora; Herpestidae.